CCGUCGAUAGCUCAGUUGGUAGAGCGGUGGACUGUAGAUCCAAAGGUCGCUGGUUCGAGUCCGCCUCGACGGC
RNAcentral lists this transfer RNA (73 nucleotides) under Rhipicephalus microplus (southern cattle tick). RNAcentral describes it as "tRNA-Tyr". It matches the Rfam family "tRNA". From Rfam's summary of the family: Transfer RNA (tRNA) molecules are approximately 80 nucleotides in length. Their secondary structure includes four short double-helical elements and three loops (D, anti-codon, and T loops). The record is from RNAcentral. Lineage: Eukaryota; Metazoa; Arthropoda; Arachnida; Ixodida; Ixodidae.